CGCCGCGUGCAGGACGAAGGUCUUCGGGAUGGUAAACUGCUUUUCUCUGGGAAGAGCGAGGACGGUACCAGAGGAAGAAGCCCCGGCUAACUACGUGCCAGCAGCCGCGGUAAUACGUAGGGGGCGAGCGUUGUCCGGAGUUACUGGGCGUAAAGGGCAUGUAGGCGGUCCGAUCAGUUUGGGGUUACAGCUCCCGGCUCAACUGGGAGAGCGCCUCGAAGACGGUAGGACUUGAGAGCCAGAGAGGGACACAGAAUUCCGGGUGUAGUGGUGAAAUGCGUAGAUAUCCGGAGGAAUACCAAAGGCGAAGGCAGUGUCCUGGCUGAUUUCUGACGCUGAGGUGCGAAAGCUAGGGGAGCGAACGGGAUUAGAUACCCCGGUAGUCCUAGCCGUAAACGAUGACCACUAGGUGUGCGGGGUAUCGACCCCCUGCGUGCCGCAGCUAACGUGAUAAGUGGUCCGCCUGGGGAGUACGGUCGCAAGAUUAAAACUCAAAGGAAUUGACG
This 506-nucleotide ribosomal RNA is filed under the name uncultured bacterium. RNAcentral describes it as "SSU rRNA". It matches the Rfam family "Bacterial small subunit ribosomal RNA", at positions 395 to 915 of the family's 1533-position model. The record is from RNAcentral.